GAUGAAUGCUGGCGGCGCGCCUAACACAUGCAAGUCGAGCGGUAACAUGGACUUCGGUCUGAUGACGAGCGGCGGACGGCUGAGUAACGCGUGGGAACAUGCCCCAAAGUGAGGAAUAACUGCCCGAAAGGGUGGCUAAUGCCGCAUAUGAUCUUCGGAUUAAAGGAUUUAUCCGCUUUGGGAGUGGCCUGCGUACGAUUAGGUAGUCGGUGAGGUAAUGGCUCACCAAGCCUACGAUCGUUAACUGGUCUGAGAGGAUGAUCAGUCAGACUGGAACUGAGACACGGUCCAGACUCCUACGGGAGGCAGCAGUGAGGAAUCUUCCACAAUGGGCGAAAGCCUGAUGGAGCGACGCCGCGUGCAGGAUGAAGGCCUUCGGGUUGUAAACUGCUUUUAUAAGUGAAGAAUAUGACGGUAACUUAUGAAUAAGCACCGGCUAACUACGUGCCAGCAGCCGCAGUA
This 462-nucleotide ribosomal RNA is filed under the name uncultured bacterium. RNAcentral describes it as "partial 16S ribosomal RNA". It matches the Rfam family "Bacterial small subunit ribosomal RNA", at positions 28 to 522 of the family's 1533-position model. The record is from RNAcentral.